This 440-nucleotide ribosomal RNA is filed under the name uncultured bacterium. RNAcentral describes it as "partial 16S ribosomal RNA". It matches the Rfam family "Bacterial small subunit ribosomal RNA", at positions 338 to 795 of the family's 1533-position model. The record is from RNAcentral.
CCUACGGGGGGCAGCAGUGGGGAAUAUUGCACAAUGGGGGAAACCCUGAUGCAGCGACGCAGCGUGAGUGAAGAAGUAUUUCGGUAUGUAAAGAUCUAUCAGCAGGGAAGAAAAUGACGGUACAUGACUAAGAAGCCCCGGCUAGCUACGUGCCAGAAGCCGCGGUAAUACGUAGGGGGCAAGGGUUAUUCGGAUUUACGGGGGGGAGAGGGAGCGGAGAACGCAGCGCAAGACUGACGUGAAAUGCCGGGGCUUAACCCCGGACCUGCUUUGGAUACUGGGCAGCUAGAGUGAUGGGGAGGUAAGUGGAAGUCCUUGUGUAGCGGUGAAAUGCGUAGAUAUUAGGAGGAACACCAGCGGCGAAGGCAGCUUACUGGACUGUAACUGACGUUGAGGCUCGAAAGCGUGGGGAGCAAACAGGAUUAGAUACCCCAGUAGUC